CAAUAGCGUAUAUUAAAGUUGUUGCAGUUAAAAAGCUCGUAGUUGGAUUUGUGGUGUACUUCGGCGGCCCGUCACUAUGUGAUGGAGCUUGCUGAAGUCGCCAUCCUUGGGUGGAUCCUGUGUGGCAUUAAGUUGUCGUGCAGGGGAUGCCCAUCGUUUACUGUGAAAAAAUUAGAGUGUUCAAAGCAGGCUUAUGCCGUUGAAUAUGUUAGCAUGGAAUAAUAAGAUAGGACCUUGGUACUAUUUUGUUGGUUUGCGCACCAAGGUAAUGAUUAAUAGGGACAGUUGGGGGUAUUCGUAUUUCAUUGUCAGAGGUGAAAUUCUUGGAUUUUUGAAAGACGAACUACUGCGAANGNAUUUACNAAGGAUGUUUNCAUUA
This 379-nucleotide ribosomal RNA is filed under the name uncultured eukaryote. RNAcentral describes it as "partial 18S ribosomal RNA". It matches the Rfam family "Eukaryotic small subunit ribosomal RNA", at positions 592 to 975 of the family's 1831-position model. The record is from RNAcentral.